Molecule: transfer RNA, 89 nt
Filed under: uncultured Bacteroides sp.
Lineage: Bacteria; Pseudomonadati; Bacteroidota; Bacteroidia; Bacteroidales; Bacteroidaceae
Description: tRNA-Ser(cag)
Source: RNAcentral
UUGUUUCUUAGGUGAGACACUUUUGUUUCUCAGGGAAGAAACUUUUGUUCCUUAGGCAAGGCACUUUUGUUCCAACAGAAAGAAACGAA